AGUUUUUAAAUAUUUAUUUUUACCAAUGCCUUUCUCCCCACUGCCUUUAGAAAGACCAAUCAGCUGUGAUAUGUGUAGAAAAGAGGAUGUGUGUCAGCUGGUGGGAUGAGGGGAAGAGAUUGUACAGUUGCUCCCUUGUAACUGGGCAAUUAAAACUCCAAAUGACAAAUCAGCAGAAGUUAAUAAUUGCUUAUAAAGAUGGUUGAAAAUAUUAAUUACCAAUUGAAAUAUUAUAGAGGCUAACUAAAUCAGGUAGGAGCUGGGGAACUCUGGGAACAUCUGGAAAAUAUGACCCAAGUUUAACACAUAGAAUUUUAUAGAAGUAGAGCAGGGACUCAGAUUUUUAGGUUAUUUGUCCAAAAUAGCAGUUUCAGUCUUUGCUGUGCAUCAGAACCACUUUGGUACUUAUUAAAUUUAGAUUUUGUAUCCAACUCUCAAAGAACUUAAAAAUUGCUGGCAUGGCAGUUUCCAGAUAUCUGUAAUUUUUAACAAGAUAGUUGAAUGAUUCUGAUUGAAAUAGUGCACAGACCAGACCAGAGACAUAACCUUGAAAAUGGGGCCAACCUUGAGCUCUCAGACAGCCCUGCGUAAUUACCGUUAGUAAAUAAACAUAAUAUUUGUGCUCACUGUCAAUGCAGACAGGGAGACGCUGCCUCACCAAGUGAUCUGGCAUACCCAGUCACAGUGUAUGUGGAUUCUAAAUCAUUUUACUGAUGGUUUCUCUAACUUUCAAAAAAGCAAAGCUUCCUCUUCAAGGCUAUUCUGGUGUACCGUUGUCAUUUGCUUCAAGAAGAUUUGAUACUUGCUUGAACUCUAAUGUGUUUUCUAUAACUUGUAAAUGUGUGCCUACGCUGUGUAGUUUAGGACUCUGGUGAUGACUGACAGUGACCUCCGUUCUCCAUAUGAAAACAGGGAUGGAACUGAUUCCAGUUACUUUUUUUCUUUCAGGUUAACUCUCUCCCACCACUUUACCCUUUCUUCAUAGAGCCUCUUCUCCAUCUCUUGACUCAUUUGUAUUAUUCACCAGAUUCUCUUCAUCACCUUAACAGUAUUAAAAACUGGCACAAUGAUCUGGCUAUUACUAACGUGGAACAUAGUGGGAUGAUUCCAUGACUCCGUAAGGGCAGUUUUCAGGUUACCACUAACAAAAUGCUUCAACAUGCAUUAUUCCAUUUAUUCGACAACUCUGCAAGGUGGGUUUUAGUGCCUUAAUUUUAUAGGUAAGAAAAAUCUAGAUUUAGAAAUGCUCAACUCUAAUUUAAAUGACAGAUACGUAACACACCAAAAAUGUUUAGUCAAGAUUCUCUGUUUUUGUUACUACUCCCCUAUAUUUUAUUUUAAUAUAGAAUAGCCAGGAGGUCAGUGACACAGAAGCUCUGACUGGGUGAACCUCAGGAAUAGGGGCCAUUGUGUUCCAUAGGUAUCCAUGAGUUGUUCUAGAAUGCAAUCUAACAACACUAUAUUCUCACCACAGUCUUCAGAGGAAAUUUCUAUUCAGAACUAGACUAGCUAUUAAACUCUAAUGCACACUGGAAUCACCUCCAAUUCCCACGAUAGCUUUCUAUUCUUGCUGGUCACCUUUUUGAAUGCAUUGGGUAACAGUAGACAAAUUUAAAAUCGUGUCUGUUAUGAACUUUGUUCCAUAAUGAUUCACUUUUUUUUUUCCUCUCUGAGUCACUCGUUUUGUUUUUCAAGUCAGGUUUACUGAGAUAGAUUUUACAUACAUUAAAAAUUUACCAAUAUUCACCACUUUUGGUGUGCCUUCCAGUUAGUUUUGACAAAUAUGUAUAAUCAUCUAACCACAACAACAGUCAAGACACAGAAUAUUUCCCUCACCCCCCAAAAACUCCUCUCAUGGUCCUUGGUUGUCAAUCCUCUGCUUCUACCACAGUCCCUGGAAACUACUGAUCUGAUUUUAGUCACAGUAUUUUACUUUUUCUAGCUGUUACAUAAAUGAAGAAUGACACCUUUUGCCUCUGAUUCUUUUCACUUAUCACAAUGCUUCCUUCUAUUCAGUUGAAUCAUAUUAUGAUUUCCAUAUCCCUGAUUUCCAAGCAUCCUCAUACUUAAUCUAUAUUCUUUUCUGUCAAAUAUCCCUGGACUGUUAUUUUUCUCAGGAACUUGAAACAUUUAACAUGUUAAUGAGGCUAAUUAGAGGAUCUUAUUAGAUGGAGUGAAAAUGUGUAUAGUGCAUAUUAAACAAAGUUAGGCCUUUUCUCCCAAUAUAAAAUAUAUAGAGUUGCUCAGACAUCAGCACCAUGUGUCUAUCAGACAGGAGUUCUUCAUGACUGCAUGCGUGCUCUUCACCUGCUUAGUGUGUACAACCUGUUGGGACAAUCCUAUUCUGACACUGUGACUUACCAGUCAAGGUAAAUUCAACAAGGAUGAUGAGAUUCUGGUGACCUGAAAGCAGUUUUGCUGAUAGGAAAAAGAGAGCCUUGUAUACUUUCUCAGGAUCUGGGGGCUCUUUUAUGCAUGUUGGGCAGAGAUGGCAGUGGCAGAAAAAUCACUGUCCUGUAGUUAUUCCCCACUGGGUACAAGUGGGAGUUCUCAUUUUUAAUGGCUUUGAGCGUGAUUCUGAUCAUCAUCCAGGUUUGACAACUAUAGAGCUUCUGUAAAGCCCCAUUAUUCUUCCCAUCUUGCCAGUCUGGUAAUAUAGUCAUUUAUUUAUUUUAUUUGCAUUCAAAGAGCAACAAAAUUAUAUAGACAAACAUAUGUAAUGCAACAUUAUGUGAAAAUAUGCUCAUGGUUCUCAAGAUUCUAAAUACAGAUAAUUCAGCAUGAAUAUUCAUGGUAUAGUUAACUGGGUUGCACGUUCUUAUUUGCACUGAAAAUUGAUGGGGAUAAAUGAAACAGACUUGCAUACAAAUUCUUGUGACUAUAUGCUUUCAAAUCUUACUGCUUCCCAGCUCUAUUUAUCUCCAUUUAUAUUGCCUUUUGCAUAUGAGUGAAAAUCAGUCACAAUAUUGUAAACACAUGUUAGAAAUAUAAUGCAUUAUUCCAUGCCACAAGUGAGGAAGAGGAAAACAGAUUACAAACAAACCAAAAAAAUGCAUUAGUGAACAGGGACGUAUCAGGGAGAAGGGGAGUCUUCUUGUGACUGUGAAAUGUACAAAAUCAAUGUUAUUUUCCUAAAUCUGAGGCCAAGAUGACUUACUUCUGUUGCAUGAUAAAGAUGCAGGCCAAGUUGACCAAAGAAUAAUGAAAGGACAUUUUUGCCAGAGAGAGAGGCAGACAGCAGAUUCAAAGCAGGCUCCACACUGACAGCAGCUAUCCCGAUGCGGGGCUUGAACUCAAGAACUGUGAGAUCAUGACCUGAGCCAAAGUCCAGCACUUAACAACUGAGCCACCCAGGCUUCACACCCAGUGCAGGGCUCAACAUGGAGCUUGAACUCACAACCCUGAGGUGAAGACCUGAGCUGAGAUCAAGAGUCUGGCUCUUAACCAACUGAGUCACCCAGGCACCCCAUCUUUUUAAAUUCCCCAGGUCCAGAGAUGUUGGAGAGUUGGAGCAAAACCAAAAUUACUGGUUCCUUGAAGAUUCUUUUCUUCCUUAGCAAAUGGUUCUGAUCAGGCUUUCAGCAACUAAGGUACUGGAAACAAUUUUGUGUAAAUGUCUUUGCUACUAGAUUCAAAUGCAUUCUUGGAGCUGAAAUGAAAUAACAAAAGGGAGGACAGUGCGGCAAGUUGGGAAAACCAUCUGUUUCAUCACAGGAAUUGAUUGAACUUGAUACACAGAUCGGAGAUAAUUUAUUCAUGAUAAUGACUCUUCUCCUAAUGUCCCAGAUAACUUUUUGUCCCAAUGGUAGCCCCUGGAUUACUUCUAAUUCAAACCCUUUGGAACUCGGUCUCCAUAACCUCUCUUCAGCACAAGGAACACAAGCAUUCCGUGAACAUUCAGUGGACAAAAUCAGUAAAAUUCUUAAUACAAAUAGUCCUAGAAUGAUUUAAUUAUUCAACAUCAGAUUGUCCUGUCCCCUCAGACAUAUUAUUGAACAAGACGGAUAUUAAUAAGGAAUUUUACAAAUAGGUUUGAUCCUUUUAUAAACCCAAUCUGAAAAUCUAGAGUAUUUUUGACAUUUGUCUUUGUAUUUCUCUUUUAAUAUUAAAAUAGCAUAUAUCAAGUCUUAUA
Molecule: long non-coding RNA, 4132 nt
Organism: Acinonyx jubatus (cheetah)
Lineage: Eukaryota; Metazoa; Chordata; Mammalia; Carnivora; Felidae
Exons: 3
Source: RefSeq, a predicted model, not a curated record